This 162-nucleotide unclassified non-coding RNA is filed under the name uncultured Cordyceps. RNAcentral's name for it is "partial internal transcribed spacer 2". The record is from RNAcentral. Lineage: Eukaryota; Fungi; Ascomycota; Sordariomycetes; Hypocreales; Cordycipitaceae.
CAACCCUCGAGCUCCCCUUGGGGAGCCCGGCGUUGGGGACCGGCAGCACACCGCCGGCCCUGAAAUGGAGUGGCGGCCCGUCCGCGGCGACCUCUGCGCAGUAACAUCACCUCGCACCGGGAACCCGACGUGGCCACGCCGUAAAACACCCAACCUUCUGAA